ACACCCUCUGUUGUGCGUGACAGCUUCAGAAAUGGGCAGUGGGAGAAUCCAGAAGAGACCUCAGGGGGUCCAUUUGUGAAAGGAGGAGGCUUUGAUUUGUUCAUGGUUGUUAAACCAGAAGGCUAUGAGGUAAUCGUGAAUGGGUACGUUUACUGUAUGUUCUGGCACCGUAUGCCAGUGGAGAGCGUGUCUGCGCUUCAUAUCCAUGGAGACAUUUUCAUGACCACCUUUGGCCUCAUUGAAGUGGACAAUGUUAAUAUGAAGGUCACCAUGCCUGCCCAUAUUUGAGGAUACUAAUCAUCUCCAUUAAGUUUG
This is a long non-coding RNA of Colossoma macropomum (tambaqui), 315 nucleotides long. RefSeq lists it as uncharacterized. The transcript is spliced from 3 exons. Lineage: Eukaryota; Metazoa; Chordata; Actinopteri; Characiformes; Serrasalmidae. The record is from RefSeq and is a predicted model, not a curated record.